GCCAGCCAGGAAACCAAAGUAUGGACAAGGGGAAAGAAGCAUCUGUGGAGGAAGUUUUACAAGCGACCCUCCUCAUCCAUCAACACGGAGAUGCAUUGACACCCUUCUUCAAUCCAGAGGAUGGGCCAUCAACUCACAAAAGUACAAGGCCUGGAACCAGCUGCAAAGUUCCUAUGGAUCACUUGGCCAGGCUGUACAGGAAGCAUAGUGACUUCUGCUUCUGGGAAGACCUCAGGAAAUUUCCAAUCAUGGUGGAAGGCAAAGGGGGAGCCAGCACUUCACACAGCCAGAGCAGGAUGAAGAGAGGGGCUGGAGUGCUACGCACUUUUAAGCAACCAGAUCUUGUGAGAACUCACUCACUAUCAGGAGAACAACACCAGUGGUGCUAAAACCAUUCAUGAAAAUCACCCUCAGGAGCCAAUCACCUCCCACCAGAUCCCACGGCAAACACUGCAGAUUACAAUUUGACAUGAGAUUUGGUGGGGACAAAGAUCCAAUUUAUUUCAGCGAUGAAAAUGUAUUCUUAUGUUCUCUUCUAUGGAUUUGGUCAAUUUGGCUCCUAUAUUUAGAUGCAUUAUUAAUUUGAGUCAAUCAUGCAUAUGGUGCUAGGGAGGCAAUAACUUGCAUGUCAGUGUCCAUUUGUCCCAGCAACACUGUGUGAGGAAAUAUUUCUUUAUAUUGAAUUGACUUGUCAACCUUGUAAAAUUGUUUUACCAUGCAUGUAAGAAUUAAUUUUCGACAUUUGAUUUUAUUCCAUUGAUAUAUAUGUCUCUCUAUCGGGAGAAAUUCAGCCAGAUAGCAGGCGAAAUUCCACCCCGAUAUUUCACGUAGGUUCUUUUCUAGAUUCCCUGAGUGUCAGCCAGUCUGAGAAAUAAAGGGACAGAGUACAAAAGAGAUAAAUUUUAAAGCUGGGUGUCCGGGGGAGACAUCACGUGUCGGCACCUUCCGUGAUGCCCCCCGAGCCGUAAAACCAGCAAGUUUUUAUUAGUGAUUUUCAAAAGGGGAGGGAGUGUACCAAUAGGGUGUGGGUCACAGAGAUCACGUGCUUCACAAGGUAAUAGAAUAUCACAAGGCAAAUGGAGGCAGGGCGAGAUCACAGGACCACAGGACUGGGGCAAAAUUAAAAUUGCUGAUGAAGUUAUAGGCACGCAUUCUCAUUGAUAACAUCUUAUCAGGAGACAGGGUUUGAGAGCAGACAACCAGUCUGUCCAAAAUUUAUUAGGCGGGAAUUUCCUCAUCCUAAUAAGCCUAGGAGCGCUAUGGGAGACUAGGGCUUAUUUCAUCCCUACAGCUUUGACCAUAAAAGAUGGCUGCCCCCGAAGCGGCCAUUUUAGAGGCCUACACUCAGGAUCGCAUUCUCUUUCUCAGGGAUGUUCCUUGCUGAGAAAGAAUUCAGUGAUAUUUCUCCCAUUUGCUUUUGAAAGAAGAGAAAUAUGGCUCUGUUCCAUCCGGCUCACUGGUGGUCAGAGUUUAAGGUUAUCUCUCUUGUUCCCUGAACAUUGCUGUUAUCCUGUUCUUUUUUCAAGGUGCCCAGAUUUCAUAUUGUUCAAACACACAUGCUCUACAAACACUUUGUGCAGUUAACGCAAUCAUCACAGGGUCCUGAGGCGACACACAUCCUCCUCAGCUUAUGAAGAUGAUAGGAUUAAGAGAUUAAAGUAAAGACAGGCAUAGGAAAUCACAAGGGCAUUGAUUGGGGAAGUGAUAAGUGUCCAUGAAAUCUUCACAAUUUAUGUUCAGAGAUUGCAGUAAAGACAGGAGUAAGAAAUUAUAAAAGUCUGAAAUUGGGGAACUAGUAAUUGUCUGUGAAAUCUUCACAAUCCACGUUCUUCUGCCAUGGCUUCAGCCGGUCCCUCGGUUCGGGGUCCCUGACUUCCCGCAACCUCUCUCCUUCUCACAUAGUAGAUAAACACACACAGGGUACAUGAUAUGUUUUGGUACAGGCAUGUAAUGUGAAAUAAGCACACAUCAUGGAGAAUUGGACAACUAUCUCUAUGAGCAUUUAUCCUUUGAGUUACAAACAAUUCAAUUAUGCUUUUUAAGUUUUGUAAAAAUAUGCAAUUAUUAUUGACUUUCAUAGUUACCCUGUUACGCUAUCAGUUUGUUUUAUUCAUUCUUUCUAUUUGUUUUGUAACCAUUAAACAUCCCUACCUUCCCCCAGCCCCCUGCUACCAUUCCCAGCCUCUGUUAACCAUCCUUCUACUCUCUAUGUCCAUGAGUUCAACUGUUUUGAUUUUUAGAACCCACAAAUAAGUGACAACAUGUGAUAUUUGUCUUUCUGUGCCUGGUUUAUUUCACUGAAGAUAGUAAUCUCCAGUUUUAUCCUUGUUGUUGCAAAUGACUGGGUCUCUUUAUUUUUUCUGGCUUAAUAGUACUCCACUGUUUAUAUACACCAUAUGUUCUUUAUCCAAUCAUCUGUUGAUGGACACUUAAGAUUGCUUCCAAAUCUUAGCUAUUGUAAACAGUGCUGCAACAAGCAUAGGAGUGCAGAUAUCUCGUUGAUAUACUGAUUUCCUUUCUUUGGGGUAUAUAUAUGCAGCAGCCUACUGCUGGGUAUAUUUGGUAGCUCAAUUUUAGUUUUCUGAGGAACCUCCAAACUGUUCUCCAUAGUGGUUGUGCUAAUUUACAUUCCCACCAACUGUGUACAAGGGUUGCUUUUCUCCACAUCCUCACCAGCAUUUGUUAUUACCUGUCCUUUGGAUAAAAGCUAUUUUACCUGGGGUGAGAUGAUAUCUCAUUGUAGUUUUGAUUGGCAUUUCUCUGAUGAUUAAUGAUUUUGAGCACCUUUUCAUAUGCUUGUUUGCCAUUUGUAUGUCUUUUGAGAAACAUUUAUUCCAAUAUUUUGUCCUUUUUUGGUUGGAUUAUUUGACUUUUUUCCUAUAGGGUUGUUUGAGCUGCCUAUAUAUUCUAGUUAUUAAUCCAUCAGAUGGGUAGUUUGCAGAUAUUUUUUCCCAUUCUGUGGGUUGUUGCUUCACUUUGUUGAUUAUAUCCUAUGCUGUGCAGGAGCUUUUAACUUGAUAUGAUCUCAUUUGCCCAUUUUUGCAUUGGUUGCUUGUGGGAUAUUGCUCAAGAAAUUUUCUCCUAGACCAACAUACUGGAGAGUUUCCUUAAUGUUUUCUUAUAGUAGUUUCAUAGUCGGAGGUCUUCAAUGUAAGUCUUUAAUCCAUUUUGAUUUGAUUUUUUGCAUACAGUGAGAGACAGAGUUCUAGUUUCAUUCUUCUGCAUGUGGAUAACCAGUUUUCCCUGCACCAUUUAUUUAAGAGACUGGCUUUUUCCCCAGUUUACGUUCUUGGCAACUCUGUCGAAAAUGACAUAACUGUAGCGUUGUGGAUUUGUUCCUUGGUUUUCUAUUCUGUUCCAUAGGUCUAUAUGGGUAUUUUUAUUCCAAUACCAUGCUGUUUCAUUUACUAUAGGUCUCUAGUAUAAUUGGAAGUCAGGUAAUGUAAUUCCUCUAGUUUUGUUCUUUCUGCUUAGGAUAGCUAUGGCUAUUCUGGUUAUUUUGUUGUUCCAUAUCCUUAACACAAUUUUGAUUACUAUUGCUUUUGUAGUAUGUUUUGAAAUCAGAAAGUAGCAUUUUACUACACAAACUUUGUUCUUUUUCAAAAUUAUUUUGUCUGUUCUGGAAUUCUAUUUCAUUAUAUAUGAAUUUUAGAGUAAAAUUGCCAAUUAGGGGAGAAAAUGUCACCUAGGAUUUAGCUAGGGAUUGCAUUAGAUAUAUUUGGAAAGUAUCAGCAACCUAAUGAUACUAAGCUUUCUAAUCAGUGAAAGCUCAAUGUAUUUAAUUUAUAAUUGUAUUAAUAUCUUUGAUAUGUUUUGUAGUCCUCAGUAUAUGUAUCUUAUACUUAUUUUAUCAAAUUAAUUCAUAGGUAUUUAACUUUUAUGCCAUUUUACAUGAAAUGGUUUUUGAAAUUUUGUUUUUAGAUUGUUAAUUGCUAAUAAAUAAAAAUAUAGUUGUUUUUGUAUAUUGACCUGUACUAAGCUGUACUACAAGCUUGCUUAUCCCUUUUUUCAUAUUUUGUUAUGUUUUAUUAGAGUUUUUAUGAUGUCUAUAGGCAGGAUCAUGUCAUUUGGAGACAUAAUUUGACUUUCCUUCCAAUCGGACUGCGUUAUGUUUAUUUUCUACACCAAUUAUGUUGGGGACAUCCUCCAAUACAGUGGUGACUAAAACUGUGAAAGUGAUAUCCUUCUCUUGUUUCUAAUUUUACAAGAAAGUGUUUGAGCUUCCAGAACUUUUAGGAUGUCAUGUGAGGUUUUCUGUGCUUUCAUGAUGGGGAAAUUUUUCUUAUUUGCCUAACUUGUUGCAUGAUUUUAUAAGGAAUGAAAUUUCAAUUUAGCAAGUGCUUAUUGCUCAUCUUUUAAGAUGACCAUGUGUAUUAUGUCCCUUAUCUCUUAAUAUAGUUUAUGGCACUAAUUCUUUUUCUAUGUUGAACCAAAUUUGCAUUUGUAAGAUGUAUACCUUCGUCAAAAUUUAUAAAUUUUUACAUGUCUGUUAUUUGUUUUAAUAGUAUUUCCUUUAAUUUUUGUGUUUAUGUUCAUAAGUCAUAUUGAUCAUAGUUUUUCUUCAGUAACUUUGUCUAACUGUGGUAUAAGGCUGAUAAUUCACAUUGAAAAGUGAUCUAUUCUUCAUGUUGCUCUUACUGUUUUUAUGUGAAAGGUCUAAAUUUAUUUAGCAGAAAUAGAAUGGAACACAUGAAAAGGAGAAAAAAUGUACAUUUUUUCAAGAUAAUUUUCAGACUUUGCAAACAAUUAUAUUGUAUAAGUGAAUAAAACCAAAUCAGAGUAAUAAAGAUAUGUAAUUGGGCUACAUAGAUGGAGAUUUACAAUAC
RNAcentral lists this long non-coding RNA (4826 nucleotides) under Homo sapiens (human). RNAcentral describes it as "HSALNT0379906". The record is from RNAcentral. Lineage: Eukaryota; Metazoa; Chordata; Mammalia; Primates; Hominidae.